This 1344-nucleotide long non-coding RNA is filed under the name Pan paniscus (pygmy chimpanzee). RNAcentral describes it as "lncRNA (ENSPPAG00000044310.1)". The record is from RNAcentral. Lineage: Eukaryota; Metazoa; Chordata; Mammalia; Primates; Hominidae.
ACUGGAAGUCCAAGGUCAAGGUGCCAGCAGUGUUGGUGUCUAGUUGAGGAUGCUCCCUUUGGGCUGCUAUAUUAGUCUGUUCUCACACCACUAUACUUCCUGAGACUAAGUAAUUUAUAAAAGAAAGAGGUUUGGUUCACAGUUCCACAUGGCUGAGGAGACCUCAGGAAACUUACAAUUAUGGUAGAAGGUGAAGGUGGAGCAAGGCACGUCUCUUCAUGGCUGCAAGAGAGAGAGAAAGAGUGAGGAAGUGUCACUCUUUAAACCAUCAGAUCUUGUGAGAACUCCAUCACUAUCACAAGAAUAGCAUGGGGAAAACCACCCCCAUGAUCCAUUCGCAUCCCACCAGGUUCCUCCCGUUGAAGAGGGAGAAAAGGAAAGAGAGAGAGGGAAAAAUAGAGAGCUCUUAGGUGUCUCUCCUUGUAAGGCAACUAAUCUCUUCAUGAGGCCCACCUUUAUGACCUCAUCUGAACCUGAUUACCUUCAAAAGGCUUCAUCUCCAAAUCCCAAAUAGCAUCAUAUUAGGAUUUGGGGCUUUAACCUGUGUUUGGGGGAAAGAGGGGUACAUAAUUCAGUCCAUAGCACUUCCUAAAAUCCUACAGCCAAUAAGAGAGAAUGAGAGCAGAAAGUGUGAGAAAACAGUGACUGAGAGGAGGAUUCCUGGCCAUAGAAGAAGAAAAUUAAGCCAGAGCUGCAGUGGAACUCCAUCAAGAAAGUCUGGAAGUCAAUGGCCCUUGACCUGGUGAAAGAGGACAUAAAGUCAGUAGUGUUUGCAUUACUCAAAAUUUUGUUUUUCAAAAGGAGCUAGUCAACAAAUGCCCCAUGGACCUCCACCAGCCUCUCCAUUUCAGAUAUCAAAAAGGAUAGCAGUGUGCUCCACCAGGAUUUUUUGCAGGCAACACUGGUGGCCCUGAUGCUCUGAAACAACUUCCCGACAUCUACCUCAUGAUGAGUGCCUGAAAAACAAAAGCCUGCAGUGGGAACCAGGAUCCAAAUUUUCAUCCAGGAGAAAACUCUGCAACUCCUGGGCCACUGGAAGCCUAGCCACACUUGGGGAGCACUAAUGUUGUUCUGAGGAAUGUGGACAUUUACAUAUCCCCUCUGGGGUUUAAAUACCAUGAUGUAGAAGGGUGGGAAAAUGCCUGCAAGGGAACAGAGAGGCAUUGGCAAAGGUGCCCCUUCCCUGAGCCCACGGUGGCACACUUCAUUUGUUGUUAAAGACUAAAACUACCUUUCUCAUUGUUAAAAAUGAUGCAUGAGCAUAUGUGGUUUGUUUUUAUGUGAAUUGCAUCUAUGUAUUUUUGAGUAUUUGCAUGUCUAUCACUUGCUUGCAUUGUUGGCUGG